This 1235-nucleotide ribosomal RNA is filed under the name metagenome. RNAcentral's name for it is "bacterial LSU rRNA". It matches the Rfam family "Bacterial large subunit ribosomal RNA", at positions 758 to 2023 of the family's 2925-position model. The record is from RNAcentral.
AAGAGGUAGUGGAGGACCGAACCCACAUCCGUUGAAAAGGGUGGGGAUGAGGUGUGGAUAGGGGAGAAAUUCCAAUCGAACCCGGAGAUAGCUGGUUCUCCUCGAAAUAGCUUUAGGGCUAGCCUCGAUACAGAUUUGCGGAGGUAGAGCACUGAAUUUCCUAGGGGGCGUCAAAGCCUACCGAAGAAUAUCAAACUCCGAAUGCCGCGUAAUCGAUUAUCGGGAGUCAGACUGCACGAGAUAAGUUGGGCGGUCAAAAGGGAAAGAGCCCAGACCUUCAGUUAAGGUCCCCAAGUGCGCGUUAAGUGGAAAAGGAUGUGGGAUUUCGAAGACAACCAGGAUGUUGGCUCAGAAGCAGCCAUCCAUUCAAAGAGUGCGUAAUAGCUCACUGGUCGAGAGGUCCUGCGCCGAAAAUGUCCGGGGCUGAAACGCGCCACCGAAACUAAGGAACCGAAAGGUUGGUAGAGGAGCAUUGCAUGCGGGAAGAAGCAGUACCGAAAGGAGCUGUGGACUGCAUGGAAGAGAGAAUGCCGGAAUGAGUAGCGAGAAUAAGGUGAGAAUCCUUAUGGCCGAAUAUCCAAGGUUUCCAGAGUAAAGCUGAUCUGCUCUGGGUAAGUCGGGGCCUAAGGCGAGGACGAGAGUCGUAGCCGAUGGACAACAGGUGGAGAUUCCUGUACUGCGGUAUGACAGAACUGUGGGGACACGUAAGGAAAGCGGAAGCCGGGAAUGGAAAGCCCGGUGCAAGCGGGGUACCAGUCACUUUGGCAAAUCCGGGUGGCAAUGGGAAGCCGUGAUGCGGAGCGAAAUAAAGUAGCGAAGUCCGUGAGCCAUGCGUCAAGAAAAGCCGCUAUUGUUUAUACCGUACCCGUACCGUAAACCGACACAGGUGGAUGAGGAGAGAAUCCUAAGGCCGGCGGAAGAAGCAUUGUCAAGGAACUCGGCAAAAUGGCCCCGUAACUUAGGGAUAAGGGGUGCCUGGGAAACCAGGCCGCAGAGAAUAGGCUCAAGCAACUGUUUAGCAAAAACACAGGUCUAUGCGAAACCGAAAGGUGAGGUAUAUGGGCUGACGCCUGCCCGGUGCUGGAAGGUUAAGAGGAGAGGUUAGCGCAAGCGAAGCUUUGAAUUUAAGCCCCAGUAAACGGCGGCCGUAACUAUAACGGUCCUAAGGUAGCGAAAUUCCUUGUCGGGUAAGUUCCGACCCGCACGAAAGGCGUAAUGAUUUGAGCACUGUCUCG